This is a long non-coding RNA of Mastomys coucha (southern multimammate mouse), 1044 nucleotides long. RefSeq lists it as uncharacterized. NCBI's taxonomy places the organism in Eukaryota, Metazoa, Chordata, Mammalia, Rodentia, Muridae. The transcript is spliced from 4 exons. The record is from RefSeq and is a predicted model, not a curated record.
AGUUUAAGAAGCUCUAUUCAAAGAACUGAACAUAUCAACUAGGUCCUGUGAAGACGGGUUCAGUUCAGUAACAGCAGGACUCUCAAAAGCUGGAAAGAAAAACCUGCAGGAGCCUAAAGAGGAAGUCAUAGACAGGAAGCCCAGUGUCAUGAAGUGUCAUGAAGCACAGGCUGGACUCAAGAUUGCUGCACAAACAAAGGAAUGUGCAAAUAUGAUAAAAGCAAAGAAACUCAUGAGAAGAGAUGAGCAGAUGACAGUGGACCUGCACAACUUCUCUGGAAGCUACUGUAAUGUCUACUAGGACUCGAUGCCAACAUGACUUCUGAUGGGCCCAGUCCUAACACUCAGUUACAAAGAUGGAGCUGGAAUAGUCAUUACGUACUCACCUGGUGUAACAGACGCUUGAGUUUCAGUAACUGUGUUUUUACAGCUGUGCAAUCCUGGACCAUGUGCCGGAGGGUCAUCUCAUCCAAAAUCACUGUGUUGUCUGGCACAUCAACAAACAUCUUCUGAGCCUGGAAAAAGGGGGUCCCUCCAUAGCUUUCAAAAUGACCCAAAGGAGAUUCUCUAUAAGGAGAGCCUCUGGAAGGGUGGGGAAGAAGGAAGGAAAAUAGAUACAAUUUCAGAAGAAAGAAAGAAUGGGACAGCACUACUACAGCAAUCUUUACAACUCAGUUCACAGCACCUUCAUACUCACCACAAUAACCGAAUUCCCUCUGAGCAGUUCCAUCUCCUUAGCUGCUAGCAAAACUGACUUUUAUGAUUCCCUAACCCCAUCCACUUUGUGUAUUCACACACUGGCUGAAUGAACCAUCCUUAAGAGCAGACAAUGCUCUUGACAAAGCUCUAGCUGUUAGAGGUAUGCUCACCCCUUUCUGUGCUGACAGGUCUUCAGCUUCUGACUUGGGGUGGCAUCUUAAAUGGUACAGCACUCUAGAUCCACAGCUAACUGACAGACUAUUAUUAAAGCUGAUGGUGUGAUUUCUUCCUUCUUUUUUUACAUUAACAAUCAUCUUUACUAAUAAAGGUAAAGGUUUUACAAGA